CGAUUUGUUCAAAAACAAAGAUUCAUACCGGAAUGAAAUGAAGGGCUGUCUUUAUGAGCGAGUCACUGAAUCGUUCACUCGACCGAUUUGUUUAAAAACAAAGAUUCAUACAGGAAUGAAAUGAAGGGCUGUCUUUAUGAGCGAGUCACUGAAUCAUUAACUCGACCGAUUUGUUUAAAAACAAAGAUUCAUACAGGAAUGAAAUGAAGGGCUGUCUUUAUGAGCGAUCACUGAAUCAUUCACUCGACCGAUUUGUUUAAAAACAAAACAAAGAUUCAUUAAGGAAUAAAACAAUUGACUGUCUUUAUAAGAGAGUCAUUGAAUAAUUCACUCAGUUUCUUUACACAAACAUUCAGAAAAGAAAAACCACUACUGUGUGUUAAUCAUUUCAGAUGGCUAAUUAAAAACAAAAAUACUGGCAAUGUUGUGUCUUAAUGUUAGUUACUUGAUAUUAACUUCUUGUUUAUCAAACUUCUGUGUAAAUCCAGCAUCCCUCUGUCACCUGUGCUGUUGUACUGAAUAUCAGCACCCCACCGCUUUCCAAAACCAUCCGCAAAGCU
Cyprinus carpio carpio is the source of this 560-nucleotide long non-coding RNA. The record is from Ensembl. Lineage: Eukaryota; Metazoa; Chordata; Actinopteri; Cypriniformes; Cyprinidae.